Molecule: ribosomal RNA, 887 nt
Filed under: uncultured Chloroflexota bacterium
Lineage: Bacteria; Bacillati; Chloroflexota
Description: bacterial SSU rRNA
Rfam family: Bacterial small subunit ribosomal RNA
Source: RNAcentral
GACGAACGCUGGCGGCGCGCUUAAUGCAUGCAAGUCGAACGAAGAAAUCCCGAUUCGUCGGGAUGGAUUAGUGGCGAACGGCUGAGUAACGCGUAAGCAACUUACCCCUAGGUGGGGAAUAACCCCGCGAAAGCGGGGCUAAUACCGCAUAUGUUGUUGUGCCACAAGGCACGCCAACAAAGGCUUCUCUUUCGGGAGGGGUCGCCUGGGGAUGGGCUUGCGUCCUAUCAGGUAGUUGGUGGGGUAACGGCCUACCCAGCCGAAGACGGGUAGCUGGUCUGAGAGGACGAUCAGCCAGAGGGGGACUGCGACACGGCCCCCACUCCUACGGGAGGCAGCAGCAGGGAAUCUUGCGCAAUGGGCGAAAGCCUGACGCAGCGACGCCGCGUGGGGGAAGAAGGCCUUCGGGUUGUAAACUCCUUUUCUGGGGGAAGAGAGAGGACGGUACCCCAGGAAUAAGCCUCGGCUAACUACGUGCCAGCAGCCGCGGUAAUACGUAGGAGGCGAGCGUUGUCCGGAUUUACUGGGCGUAAAGGGCGUGUAGGCGGUACGGAAAGUCUCUGUUGAAAUCUCCCGGCUCAACUGGGAGGGAUGCAGGGAUACUUUCGAACUAGAGGACAGUAGAGGAGAGUGGAAUUCCCGGUGUAGUGGUGAAAUGCGUAGAUAUCGGGAGGAACACCAGUGGCGAAAGCGGCUCUCUGGGCUGUACCUGACGCUGAGGCGCGAAAGCGUGGGGAGCAAACCGGAUUAGAUACCCGGGUAGUCCACGCCAUAAACGAUGGAUGCUGGGUAUGGGGGGUAUCGACCCCUUCCGUGCCGAAGCUAACGCGUUAAGCAUCCCGCCUGGGAACUACGGCCGCAAGGCUAAAACUCAAAGGAAUUGACGG